UGGCUCAGGACAAACGCUGGCGGCGUGCCUAAUACAUGUUUUUUCGAACGAGCUUGCCUAGAUGAAUUUGGUGCUUGCACCAGAUGAAACUAGAUACAAGCGAGCGGCGGACGGGUGAGUAACUGGUGGGUAACCUGCCCAAGAUGCUGGGAUAACACCUGGAAACUGAUGCUAAUACCGGAUAACAACACUAGACGCAUGUCUAGAGUUUAAAAGAUGGUUCUGCUAUCACUCUUGGAUGGACCUGCGGUGCAUUAGCUAGUUGGGAAGGCGACGGCUUACCAAGGGAAUGAUGCAUAACCUAGUUGAGAGACUGAUCGGCCACAUUGGGACUGAGACACGGCCCACACUCCUACGGGGGGCAGCAGUAGGGAAUCUUCCACAAUGGACGCUAGUCUGAUGGAGCAACGUCGCGUGAGUGAAGAAGGGUUUCGGCUCGUAUAGCUGUGUUGAUAGUGAAGAAAGAUAGAGGUAGUAACUGGCCUUUAUUUGACGGUAAUUAC
RNAcentral lists this ribosomal RNA (503 nucleotides) under uncultured bacterium. Its description in RNAcentral is "bacterial SSU rRNA". It matches the Rfam family "Bacterial small subunit ribosomal RNA", at positions 20 to 482 of the family's 1533-position model. The record is from RNAcentral.